CACUCCUACGGGAGGCAGCAGUGGGGAAUAUUGGACAAUGGGCGCAAGCCUGAUCCAGCCAUGCCGCGUGAGUGAUGAAGGCCCUAGGGUUGUAAAGCUCUUUUGUGCGGGAAGAUAAUGACGGUACCGCAAGAAUAAGCCCCGGCUAACUUCGUGCCAGCAGCCGCGGUAAUACGAAGGGGGCUAGCGUUGCUCGGAAUCACUGGGCGUAAAGGGUGCGUAGGCGGGUCUUUAAGUCAGGGGUGAAAUCCUGGAGCUCAACUCCAGAACUGCCUUUGAUACUGAAGAUCUUGAGUUCGGGAGAGGUGAGUGGAACUGCGAGUGUAGAGGUGAAAUUCGUAGAUAUUCGCAAGAACACCAGUGGCGAAGGCGGCUCACUGGCCCGAUACUGACGCUGAGGCACGAAAGCGUGGGGAGCAAACAGGAUGAGAAACCCGGGUAGUCCCA
This 447-nucleotide ribosomal RNA is filed under the name uncultured organism. Its description in RNAcentral is "partial 16S ribosomal RNA". It matches the Rfam family "Bacterial small subunit ribosomal RNA", at positions 334 to 797 of the family's 1533-position model. The record is from RNAcentral.